GACGAACGCUGGCGGCGUGCUUAACACAUGCAAGUCGAACGGAAAGGCCCUGCUCUUGUUGGGUUCUCGAUUGGCGAACGGGUGAGUAACACGUGUGUAUCCUGCCCUUAUCUUUGUGAUAACAUCAGGAAACUGCGGCGAAUAUCGGAUAGGAGCUCCUGCUGCAUGGUGUGGGUUGGAAAGUUUCGGCGGUUGGGGCUGGUUUCGCGGGUUAUCAGCUUGCUGGUCGAGUAGGUGCUUACCAAGGCUUUGACGGGUAGCCGGCCUGAGAGGGUUAACGGCCACAUUGCGCCUGAGAUACGGAGCAGAAUGCAACGGGACGCAGCGGUGGGGAGUAUUGCACAGUGGGGGGAAGCCUGUUGCAGCAGCGCCGCGUGCGGGAUAACGGCCUUCGGGUUGUAAACAGCUUUCGCCGGUGACGAAGCGUGAGUGACGGUAAUGGGUAAGGAAGCACCGGCUAACUACGUG
This 468-nucleotide ribosomal RNA is filed under the name uncultured bacterium. Its description in RNAcentral is "partial 16S ribosomal RNA". It matches the Rfam family "Bacterial small subunit ribosomal RNA", at positions 28 to 507 of the family's 1533-position model. The record is from RNAcentral.